GUACGGGAGGCAGCAGUGGGGAAUCUUCCGCAAUGGACGAAAGUCUGACGGAGCAACGCCGCGUGAGUGAUGAAGGCCUUCGGGUUGUAAAGCUCUGUCUGGCGGGACGAAUGGGGUAUGGGUGAAUAGCCCGUAUCCGUGACGGUACCGCCAAAGAAAGCCCCGGCUAACUACGUGCCAGCAGCCGCGGUAAUACGUAGGGGGCGAGCGUUGUCCGGAAUUACUGGGCGUAAAGCGCGCGUAGGCGGCUUGAUAAGUCAGGUGUGAAAACUUAAGGCUCAACCUUAAGAUGGCAUUUGAAACUAUCAGGCUUGAGGGCAGGAGAGGAGAGCGGAAUUCCUAGUGUAGCGGUGAAAUGCGUAGAUAUUAGGAGGAACACCAGUGGCGAAGGCGGCUCUCUAGACUGAUCCUGACGCUGAGGUGCGAAAGCCAGGGGAGCAAACGGGAUUAGAUACCCGCGUAGUCCC
Molecule: ribosomal RNA, 467 nt
Filed under: uncultured bacterium
Lineage: Bacteria
Description: bacterial SSU rRNA
Rfam family: Bacterial small subunit ribosomal RNA
Source: RNAcentral